Molecule: transfer RNA, 74 nt
Filed under: bacterium
Lineage: Bacteria
Also listed under: 2 other names
Description: tRNA-Asp
Rfam family: tRNA
About the family: Transfer RNA (tRNA) molecules are approximately 80 nucleotides in length. Their secondary structure includes four short double-helical elements and three loops (D, anti-codon, and T loops).
Source: RNAcentral
GCGGGGGUAGCUCAACUGGUUAGAGCGCCGCCCUGUCACGGCGGAGGUUGCGGGUUCAAGUCCCGUCCCUCGCG